AUGGCGGGAGAGGUGAGCAAGGAGGAGCUCCGGAGCGUCCUCAUGCAGGCCAUGAUGGCCGCCAAGAACUUGCGCCCGCAGCGCGACCGCCUCCUGCAUCUCCAGCGCCGCCUGCAGCGCCUCCAGGCCGCCACCCCGGGCCCCGACGAUGCCAAGCUCCGGGACCUCGCCACGGACCUCUUCAAGGUCUACUACAUCGGCAUGGAGGCCGGCGCCCGCAUGCUCAGCACCUGCCUCGAGCUAGCCGUCAAGAACGGCGGCCGCUUCGCCAUGAACCCCUCCUUCGCCGUCAUGCCCGACGAGCAGCUCCACGACGCGCUGCUCGCGCAGCGCCUCCCGGCCCGCCCCACCACCCAGCCCGAGGCCUUGGCCCGCGUCGAGGCCGCGCUCUUCGCCGUCAAGCUGCCCGAGGAGUACCACAUCCCGCGCUGCAUCGAGCACCUCGCCGGCUCCCGGCCCCCGCACCCCGGCGGCAAGCACGACACCGCCUCGCCGGACGGCAAGCUCAGGACAGCCAUCGACCUGGACAAGGCGUCCGACUUCCUCGAGCGCGGGUGCACCAUCCUGAGCCUCGCCGUCAAGCACGUCGACCUCGCCGUCGCCGUGCUCUCUCGCUUCCUCGACCGCAAGGAGCUCGCCAGCCUCGCCGACUUCACCGACAAGGUCGCCUACAUCUCCGAGGACGGGCCAUAUCCUUCAACAGAUUAG
RNAcentral lists this ribosomal RNA (708 nucleotides) under Triticum aestivum (bread wheat). RNAcentral's name for it is "partial small subunit ribosomal RNA". The record is from RNAcentral. Lineage: Eukaryota; Viridiplantae; Streptophyta; Magnoliopsida; Poales; Poaceae.